GAUGAACGCUGGCGGCGUGCCUAAUACAUGCAAGUCGAACGGACAGACGAUGAGCUCGCGCCACUGACGUUGGCGACGGGCGGGUGAGUAACACGUGGAUAACCUUCCUCUUAGACUUGGGUAACUUCGAGAAGCCCUAGCUCAUAACAGAUAAUAUCUUGAACGGCAUGGUUCAAUAGUUAAAUACGUUUUGGCUGACACUUAGAGCUGGAUCCGCGCCGCAUUAGCUAGUUGGUAAGGUAACGGCUUACCGAGGCAACGAUGCGUAGCCGACCUGAGAGGGUGAUCCGCCACACUGGAACUGAGACACGGUCCAGACUCCUACGGGAGGCAGCAGUAGGGAAUGUUGCACAAUGGGCGAAAGCCUGACGGAGCCAUGCCGCGUGAGUGAUGAAGGUCUUCGGGUUGUAAAACUCUGUUAUUAGGGAAGAACAACUGUGUAAGUAACCAGCCAUGUUUUGACGGUACCUAAACAAAAAGCACCGGCUAACUACGUG
Molecule: ribosomal RNA, 497 nt
Filed under: uncultured bacterium
Lineage: Bacteria
Description: partial 16S ribosomal RNA
Rfam family: Bacterial small subunit ribosomal RNA
Source: RNAcentral